This 327-nucleotide ribosomal RNA is filed under the name Triticum aestivum (bread wheat). RNAcentral's name for it is "partial small subunit ribosomal RNA". Lineage: Eukaryota; Viridiplantae; Streptophyta; Magnoliopsida; Poales; Poaceae. The record is from RNAcentral.
AUGAACGAGGCAAAACGGCAGCUUUAUCAUGGUUGUACCAAGUUUUCAAGGUUCUCCUUUGUGGUAAAGCUUCUUCACUUGAAGUCAUACCAUAGGAUCCCGAAUAGUGCAUUUACUGAAAUUUUGAAGCUAUUAGCUGAAGCAUUCCCUGAACCCAAUACGCUCCCAAAAUCGUAUAAGGAAGCAAAGAACCUUCUAAAGGAAUUAGGCCUUGGGUAUGAAUCUAUACAUGUGUGCUUCAAUAAUUGCAUUCUGUUCAGAAAGCAAUAUGCCAAUCAUGACAAUUGCCCAGUAUGUGGCCUAUCAAGGUGGAAAGACCCUGCUUGA